Molecule: ribosomal RNA, 457 nt
Filed under: rape rhizosphere bacterium m9096
Lineage: Bacteria
Description: bacterial SSU rRNA
Rfam family: Bacterial small subunit ribosomal RNA
Source: RNAcentral
GAUUGAACGCUGGCGGCAGGCCUAACACAUGCAAGUCGAGCCGUAGAGAGAAGCUUGCUUCUCUUGAGAGCGGCGGACGGGUGAGUAAUGCCUAGGAAUCUGCCUGGUAGUGGGGGAUAACGCUCGGAAACGGACGCUAAUACCGCAUACGUCCUACGGGAGAAAGCAGGGGACAUUCGGGCCUUGCGCUAUCAGAUGAGCCUAGGUCGGAUUAGCUAGUUGGUGAGGUAAUGGCUCACCAAGGCGACGAUCCGUAACUGGUCUGAGAGGAUGAUCAGUCACACUGGAACUGAGACACGGUCCAGACUCCUACGGGAGGCAGCAGUGGGGAAUAUUGGACAAUGGGCGAAAGCCUGAUCCAGCCAUGCCGCGUGUGUGAAGAAGGUCUUCGGAUUGUAAAGCACUUUAAGUUGGGAGGAAGGGUUGUAGAUUAAUACUCUGCAAUUUUGACGUUACC